GCCACCAUGGCUCAGUCUGGUAGAGCGUUGCAUUGGUAAUGCAGAGGUCGCGGGUUCGAUUCCCGUUGGUGGCU
RNAcentral lists this transfer RNA (74 nucleotides) under Candidatus Woesearchaeota archaeon. Its description in RNAcentral is "tRNA-Thr". It matches the Rfam family "tRNA". From Rfam's summary of the family: Transfer RNA (tRNA) molecules are approximately 80 nucleotides in length. Lineage: Archaea; Nanobdellati; Candidatus Woesearchaeota. The record is from RNAcentral.